This is a long non-coding RNA of Carassius auratus (goldfish), 880 nucleotides long. RefSeq lists it as uncharacterized. NCBI's taxonomy places the organism in Eukaryota, Metazoa, Chordata, Actinopteri, Cypriniformes, Cyprinidae. The transcript has 3 exons. The record is from RefSeq and is a predicted model, not a curated record.
GCUGAAAGAAGGGAAUGGAGACCUUUUGUUUCCUGCUUUUUUGCUGUCGGUUUACUCGUGUUUGACUUGCUUUAUUUAUACAAAAAUCCUUGGUAUUUUUGUUCUGAAAUUUUUGAUCCUUCCCACUUUUUGAAUUUGCCAUUUCAUUUAGUUAUUAUGUUACUUUGUUGCUCAGAUGGCAUUUCUCUUUGAGCUUUGAUAAGCUUAAGGUCUAUGAUGUUUACUCUUUACUCAAGAGAACCAGUUAAACGGGGCUAAUUCAGAAAACAGGUUUUAAUUGAGUGUGAAACUCACAGCCAGUCUUCCAAAACCCAACAGCCAAGGGCUGUUUACAGCUGAAUGGGUUUACAGGAAUCAGGCUUACUAACUUUGGCCUGCCUCAGACUCGACACCGUCCAUUUGUCGAUUGGCGGAAUCGUAUGCCUGGCCGAGCGGUAGGAGGACGUGGGGGAGUCAGCCGCGGUUCUCGCCGGAGGCGGCGAAGGUAGGCCUAGGCGUCUUGGGAGGCGAGUAGCUGCUCACGCCGUACCGCGCCCGCGGGUUGGAGCCUGGGGCUCGAUUUGGUUGCCACGCCGGGAAGGGGUGGCCUUGGAGCCGGCUGGCUGCAGUGAUGGGGCUGGGGAAGAGCUGGAUGAGUCUUCUGACGAGGAAUCUCGGUUUUGGGACAUGGUGCAUGCGGACCAAAAUGCUGAUAAACUGUCAAUGGAUAGAGGUAAGUCAGCGAUAUUUAUACUGUGGGAUUGAUUACUUGAUUGUGGUCCACCUGUGAUGAUUAGGCUAAGUAUCUGACGCGCUCCUCCCGAAUCUUCAUAGAUAAUUACAUUUUGUAAAACUGCAUUUUUCCAUCUCAAAAAUAUAUCUAAAUUACAGCCUAUGCUCU